Melanotaenia boesemani (Boeseman's rainbowfish) is the source of this 292-nucleotide long non-coding RNA. RefSeq lists it as uncharacterized. NCBI's taxonomy places the organism in Eukaryota, Metazoa, Chordata, Actinopteri, Atheriniformes, Melanotaeniidae. The record is from RefSeq and is a predicted model, not a curated record. The transcript has 3 exons.
UGUCCCAAGAGCUCCAGCAUCAGUACCAGCAUGUCCACCAUCACCCUCAGCAUCUAAGCCACAAGCUGUAGCUGAGAAAUAUGUUAAAGAUGCUUGGGCUGGACAGACCGCCCAUGUACUCCUUUCAAAAGUGGGGGCCUAUAAGCUCUUCUACUGGGACAUCAAACAGACAGGGCCCCACAUGGAGCUGGAAAGUGAGUCUAUUAAUGCCUUUUUGGCCAUUCUGGUGCGCAGCUACAACCACCAGAACAAGGAAAAGGCUGCAUCCAUCGAUUCCUAUGCCAUGAGCUCA